GUCCGGCGGCGGCCCCUCAGCGGGCAGGUGCACCCAGCGCAGCCCUGGAUGGGGCGUUUGUGACAGCAGCGCGACCUCCUCGGUGCCCGCCCCCGGGUGCCCGGCCUCCCCUGGCGGAAGUGCCGCGCUCGAGUCCCCGAGUCCCGAGUGCCCGUGGGCGGGCCGGGGUCGCCCAGCUGCCCGGAGGCCGGUGUGGGCGCGGGGGCUGCGGGGACCCGAGGACGCCUGCUGCGGGAGCUCAGUCCGAAGGAGGUGGAGGAUCCAGUAGCAACAGCAAGCCUCGGGCGCUUCACGGUUAGCUUCUCGGAUGGCAGGAACCGUGACAGGUCGCCAGCUGAGGACGCUGCGGAUGCCCGGCCUGGAAGGGCCCGUCCCUCUGCUUCCCUGCGGGCCCUGCUCGCCGCCCUCUACUUGCCCGGUGCCCACAGGACCCAAGAAGCUCUCUCGAAGCGGAGACCAGGAAGGGCACGGUCCGAGU
This 478-nucleotide long non-coding RNA is filed under the name Vulpes vulpes (red fox). RNAcentral describes it as "lncRNA (ENSVVUG00000022849.1)". Lineage: Eukaryota; Metazoa; Chordata; Mammalia; Carnivora; Canidae. The record is from RNAcentral.